AUUAGAUCAAAACCAACCGGGUUUCGGCCCGCUGGCUUGGUGACUCUGGAUAACUUUGUGCUGAUCGCAUGGCCAUGAGCCGGCGACGUAUCUUUCAAAUGUCUGCCCUAUCAACUUACGAUGGUAGGUGAUAUGCCUACCAUGGUUAUAACGGGUAACGGGGAAUCAGGGUUCGAUUCCGGAGAGGGAGCCUGAGAAACGGCUACCACAUCCAAGGAAGGCAGCAGGCGCGCAAAUUACCCACUCCCGGCACGGGGAGGUAGUGACGAGAAAUAACGAUACGGGACUCAUUUGAGGCCCCGUAAUUGGAAUGAGUACACUUUAAAUCCUUUAACGAGGAUCUAUUGGAGGGCAAGUCUGGUGCCAGCAGCCGCGGUAAUUCCAGCUCCAAUAGCGUAUAUUAAAGUUGUUGCAGUUAAAACGCUCGUAGUUGGAUCUGAGGAUAUGAGUUGGUGGUUCGACACAUGUCGGUACUGCUAACUCUGCCUACCUAGCCGGUGCUUGCCCCUGGUGCUCUUAACUGAGUGUCUUGGGUGCCCGGCACGUUUACUUUUGAAAAAAUUAGAGUGCUCAAAG
RNAcentral lists this ribosomal RNA (576 nucleotides) under uncultured eukaryote. Its description in RNAcentral is "SSU rRNA". It matches the Rfam family "Eukaryotic small subunit ribosomal RNA", at positions 209 to 780 of the family's 1831-position model. The record is from RNAcentral.